GAUGAACGCUGGCGGCGUGCCUAACACAUGCAAGUCGAGCGAACGGACCAGAAUCUUGCUUCUCUGAUGUUAGCGGCGGACGGGAGAGUCACACGUGGAUAACCUACCUAUAAGACUGGGAUAAUUUCGGGAAACCGGCGCUUAUACCGGAUAAUAUUUUGAACCGCAUGGUUCAAAAGUGAAAGUCGGUCUUGGUGUCACUUAUAGAUGGAUCAGCGCUGCAUUAGGUAGUUGGUAAGGUAACGGCUUACCAAGGCGACGAUGCAUAACCGACCUAAGAGGGUGAUCGGCCACACUGGAAGUGAGACACGGUCCAGACACCUGCGGGAGGCAGCAGUAGGGAAUCUUCCGCAAUGGGCGAGAGCCUGACGGAGCAACGUCGCGUGAGUGAUGAAGGUCUUCUGAUCGGAAAACUCUGUUAGUAGGGAAAAACAUAUGUGUAAGUAACUGUGCACAUAUUGACGGUACCUGGUCAGAAAGCCACGGCUAACUACGUG
Molecule: ribosomal RNA, 497 nt
Filed under: uncultured bacterium
Lineage: Bacteria
Description: partial 16S ribosomal RNA
Rfam family: Bacterial small subunit ribosomal RNA
Source: RNAcentral